UAUUCCUUUAAGAGUAGUCCCGUGAGGCUAAGAAGGACACAUGCAGAUGCAAUCAGGUGCGCUUGAUGUUGGUCUGUAUGUAUUACAGUAUACUUUUGUAAACUUGUAAGCUAUCCUCCUGCCUUCUGGGCAGGAGUUUUUUUGUU
Enterococcus sp. is the source of this 146-nucleotide non-coding RNA. The record is from Rfam. Lineage: Bacteria; Bacillati; Bacillota; Bacilli; Lactobacillales; Enterococcaceae.